UAGUGGCGAACGGGUGAGUAACACGUGGGCAAUCUGCCCUUCACUCUGGGACAAGCCCUGGAAACGGGGUCUAAUACCGGAUAACACUNUUCCCUGCAUGGGGGAGGGUUGAAAGCUCCGGCGGUGAAGGAUGAGCCCGCGGCCUAUCAGCUUGUUGGUGGGGUGAUGGCCUACCAAGGCGACGACGGGUAGCCGGCCUGAGAGGGCGACCGGCCACACUGGGACUGAGACACGGCCCAGACUCCUACGGGAGGCAGCAGUGGGGAAUAUUGCACAAUGGGCGGAAGCCUGAUGCAGCGACGCCGCGUGAGGGAUGACGGCCUUCGGGUUGUAAACCUCUUUCAGCAGGGAAGAAGCGUGAGUGACGGUACCUGCAGAAGAAGCGCCGGCUAACUACGUGCCAGCAGCCGCGGUAAUACGUAGGGCGCAAGCGUUGUCCGGAAUUAUUGGGCGUAAAGAGCUCGUAGGCGGCUUGUCGCGUCGGAUGUGAAAGCCCGGGGCUCAACCCCGGGUCUGCAUUCGAUACGGGCAGGCUGGAGUGUGGUAGGGGAGAUCGNAAUUCCU
RNAcentral lists this ribosomal RNA (564 nucleotides) under Streptomyces sp. 343D04. RNAcentral's name for it is "bacterial SSU rRNA". It matches the Rfam family "Bacterial small subunit ribosomal RNA", at positions 93 to 671 of the family's 1533-position model. The record is from RNAcentral. Lineage: Bacteria; Bacillati; Actinomycetota; Actinomycetes; Kitasatosporales; Streptomycetaceae.